This is a non-coding RNA of Cinara cedri, 228 nucleotides long. Lineage: Eukaryota; Metazoa; Arthropoda; Insecta; Hemiptera; Aphididae. The record is from the annotation of a GenBank genome assembly.
GUUAUCUUUAAUAAUUAAGCUGAAUCGAGUUAAAAAGCUUUAUAUUGACAAUGUGUUCAACAAUUUACUCUUAAAUAUUCCUAAAAUACUGUUAUCAAUUAUAUUAUCAACUUUUGCUUUCAACAAGAAUAUUAUUUGUUUGAACGUUUGAUAUGCGUUAGACUAGCCAAUAUCAGAUAUACCCUUUAUGAUAGUUAACAGUUUACAAUUUAUACUGCAUGAGAAGGC